RNAcentral lists this ribosomal RNA (443 nucleotides) under uncultured bacterium. RNAcentral describes it as "partial 16S ribosomal RNA". It matches the Rfam family "Bacterial small subunit ribosomal RNA", at positions 338 to 795 of the family's 1533-position model. The record is from RNAcentral.
CCUACGGGUGGCAGCAGUGGGGAAUAUUGGGCAAUGGGCGCAAGCCUGACCCAGCAACGCCGCGUGAAGGAAGAAGGCUUUCGGGUUGUAAACUUCUUUUCUCAGGGACGAAGCAAGUGACGGUACCUGAGGACUAAGCCACGGCUAACUACGUCACAGCAGCCGCGGUAAUACGUAGGUGGCAAGCGUUAUCCGGAUUUACGGGGUGUAAGGGGCGUGUAGGCGGGACUGCAAGUAAGAUGUGAAAGCCACGGGCUCAACCUGUGGCCUGCAUUUGAAACUGUAGUUCUUGAGUACUGGAGAGGCAGACGGAAUUCCUGGUGUAGCGGUGAAAUGCGUAGAUAUUAGGAGGAACACCAGUGGCGAAGGCGGUCUGCUGGACAGCAACUGACGCUGAGGCGCGAAAGCGUGGGGAGCAAACAGGAUUAGAUACCCGAGUAGUC